GGAAUAUUGGACAAUGGGCGAAAGCCUGAUCCAGCAAUGCCGCGUGUGUGAAGAAGGCCUGCGGGUUGUAAAGCACUUUCAGUAGAGAAGAAAAGCCUACGGUUAAUAACCGUGAGUCUUGACGUACCCUACAGAAGAAGCACCGCCUAACGCGGUGCAACCAGCCGCGGUAAUACGGAGGGUGCAAGCGUUAAUCGGAAUUACUGGGCGUAAAGCGCGCGUAGGCGGCUUUGUAAGUCGGAUGUGAAAGCCCUGGGCUUAACCUGGGAAUUGCAUUCGAUACUGCAUGGCUAGAGUAUGGUAGAGGGAAGUGGAAUUUCCGGUGUAGCGGUGAAAUGCGUAGAUAUCGGAAGGAACACCAGUGGCGAAGGCGACUUCCUGGGCCAAUACUGACGCUGAGGUGCGAAAGCGUGGGGUGCAAAC
This 423-nucleotide ribosomal RNA is filed under the name uncultured bacterium. RNAcentral describes it as "bacterial SSU rRNA". It matches the Rfam family "Bacterial small subunit ribosomal RNA", at positions 358 to 773 of the family's 1533-position model. The record is from RNAcentral.